This 390-nucleotide ribosomal RNA is filed under the name uncultured beta proteobacterium. RNAcentral's name for it is "bacterial SSU rRNA". It matches the Rfam family "Bacterial small subunit ribosomal RNA", at positions 94 to 478 of the family's 1533-position model. The record is from RNAcentral. Lineage: Bacteria; Pseudomonadati; Pseudomonadota; Betaproteobacteria.
AGUGGCGAACGGGUGAGUAAUACAUCGGAACGUGCCCUGUGGUGGGGGAUAACUAGUCGAAAGAUUACCUAAUACCGCAUACGACCUGAGGGUGAAAGUGGGGGACCGCAAGGCCUCAUGCUAUAGGAGCGGCCGAUGUCUGAUUAGCUAGUUGGUGGGGUAAAGGCCCACCAAGGCGACGAUCAGUAGCUGGUCUGAGAGGACGAUCAGCCACACUGGGACUGAGACACGGCCCAGACUCCUACGGGAGGCAGCAUGUGGGGAAUUUUGGACAAUGGGCGAAAGCCUGAUCCAGCUAAUGCCGCGUGUGUGAAGAAGGCCUUCGGGUUGUAAAGCACUUUUGUCCGGAAAGAAAUGGCUCUGGUUAAUACCUGGGGUCGAUGACGGUAC